This is a small nuclear RNA of Dermochelys coriacea (leatherback sea turtle), 103 nucleotides long. Lineage: Eukaryota; Metazoa; Chordata; Testudines; Dermochelyidae. The record is from RefSeq and is a predicted model, not a curated record.
GGCUGUUGUGUCUACCUGCCAUAUACUAAAAUUGGAACGAUACAGAGAAGCUUGGCCCCUGCGCAAGGAUGACACACAAAUUCAUGAAGCGUUCCAUUUAAAA